GCUCCUAAAUGAUGAACCUUUCAUCAAGGAAGACCUUAUAACAAUUCAGAAUCCUAAUGCUCUUGAUUUUGAUCUUGUUAAAAAAGGUCUGAAACUUGAUGAUGAAGAUGUUACAGGAGCUUGGAACUGAGAAAGGAAAACAAACUGCACUGCUUAUUAAAUAUCAGCUGCCUUUAGAAAUUAUCAGCGGUGGAGAAGGUUAUUGUUGAUGACAAUGAAGAAGAGGAAGGGAAGGCCAAAGAAGAGGAAAAUGCUGAGGAUGAAGAUAAAAUUAACUCUUUUAAAUAUCAGCUGCCUUUAGAGAUUAUCAUUAUU
This is a long non-coding RNA of Pistacia vera, 315 nucleotides long. RefSeq lists it as uncharacterized. The record is from RefSeq and is a predicted model, not a curated record. The transcript has 3 exons. NCBI's taxonomy places the organism in Eukaryota, Viridiplantae, Streptophyta, Magnoliopsida, Sapindales, Anacardiaceae.